Molecule: ribosomal RNA, 314 nt
Filed under: uncultured bacterium
Lineage: Bacteria
Description: partial 16S ribosomal RNA
Rfam family: Bacterial small subunit ribosomal RNA
Source: RNAcentral
UUAUAAGAGACAGCAGCCGCCGCGGUAAUACAGAGGGUGCGAGCGUUAAUCGGAUUUACUGGGCGUAAAGCGUGCGUAGGCGGCUUUUUAAGUCGGAUGUGAAAUCCCUGAGCUUAACUUAGGAAUUGCAUUCGAUACUGGGAAGCUAGAGUAUGGGAGAGGAUGGUAGAAUUCCAGGUGUAGCGGUGAAAUGCGUAGAGAUCUGGAGGAAUACCGAUGGCGAAGGCAGCCAUCUGGCCUAAUACUGACGCUGAGGUACGAAAGCGUGGGGAGCAAACAGGAUUAGAUACCCGCGUAGUCCCUGUCUCUUAUAC